Molecule: small nuclear RNA, 243 nt
Filed under: Nakaseomyces glabratus
Lineage: Eukaryota; Fungi; Ascomycota; Saccharomycetes; Saccharomycetales; Saccharomycetaceae
Description: [Candida] glabrata SNR14 noncoding RNA U4
Rfam family: U4 spliceosomal RNA (bases 9-221)
About the family: U4 small nuclear RNA (U4 snRNA) is a component of the major U2-dependent spliceosome. The structure of U4 snRNA from yeast and human has been reported.
Source: RNAcentral
AGAGAACCAUCCUUAUGCUCGGGAAAUACGCAUAUCAGUGAGGAUUCGUUCCGAGAUUGUGUUUUUGCUGGUUGAAAUUUAAUUAAUUAUAAACCAGACCGUACUCCUCAUGGCUCGUCUGCGUCCCGUCUCCUUGUGAGUUGGGUAGUGGGCAGUGCUACACUUAAUUCCGUGGCAUUGUAGAGCGCAUGCAGGGAAUUUUUGGCAUCAUUUCACACAUGGACAACAUAGUUCUAGCGGUGG